Molecule: long non-coding RNA, 306 nt
Filed under: Rattus norvegicus (Norway rat)
Lineage: Eukaryota; Metazoa; Chordata; Mammalia; Rodentia; Muridae
Description: long non-coding RNA NONRATT009575
Source: RNAcentral
AUCCCAAAAUGUCAUCAGUCAGCAAGAGGAGUGUCUAAAGGAACUGGAGGAACUCAAAUUUGAAAUCCAGAAGUGUCAAUUCGAGAGGGAUGAACUUUAUCAAAUCCUGGAUCUUUAUAUCUAUGAUGAGUGGGACCACAGGCUGCAUGUCGAAUUGCCAGUCCUUCAAUCUGAACAUGAGAUGAGAAUGAUGGCUAUGCAAAUGAUGACCAACUCAAUAAGUGAUGCCAUGGAGAGGUACAAGGAGCUCAUACAAGUGAACAGUUCCUACCGCAUCAGGCACUCCCAGCUCCUGCGUGAACAAGC